RNAcentral lists this ribosomal RNA (1436 nucleotides) under Cylindrospermopsis raciborskii. RNAcentral's name for it is "bacterial SSU rRNA". It matches the Rfam family "Bacterial small subunit ribosomal RNA". The record is from RNAcentral. Lineage: Bacteria; Bacillati; Cyanobacteriota; Cyanophyceae; Nostocales; Aphanizomenonaceae.
CAUAAGGUUUGAUUCCUGGCUCCCAGGAGUUAACCUUCGGUAUGCUUAACACAUGCAAGUCGAACGGGAUGCUUAGGCAUCUAGUGGCGGACGGGUGAGUAACGCGUGAGAAUCUGGCUCCAGGUCGGGGAUAACAGUUGGAAACGACUGCUAAUACCGGAUGUGCCGAGAGGUGAAAGAUUUAUCGCCUGGAGAUGAGCUCGCGUCUGAUUAGCUAGUUGGCGGUGUAAGGGACCACCAAGGCAUCGAUCAGUAGCUGGUCUGAGAGGAUGAUCAGCCACACUGGGACUGAGACACGGCCCAGACUCCUACGGGAGGCAGCAGUGGGGAAUUUUCCGCAAUGGGCGAAAGCCUGACGGAGCAAUACCGCGUGAGGGAGGAAGGCUCUUGGGUCGUAAACCUCUUUUCUCAAGGAAGAAGAAAGUGACGGUACUUGAGGAAUAAGCAUCGGCUAACUCCGUGCCAGCAGCCGCGGUAAUACGGAGGAUGCAAGCGUUAUCCGGAAUGAUUGGGCGUAAAGGGUCUGCAGGUGGAACUGAAAGUCUGCUGUUAAAGAGUUUGGCUUAACCAAAUAAAAGCGGUGGAAACUACAGAACUAGAGUGCGGUAGGGGCAAAAGGAAUUCCUGGUGUAGCGGUGAAAUGCGUAGAUAUCAGGAAGAACACCGGUGGCGAAAGCGUUUUGCUAGACCGUAACUGACACUGAGGGACGAAAGCUAGGGGAGCGAAUGGGAUUAGAUACCCCAGUAGUCCUAGCCGUAACGAUGGAUACUAGGCGUGGCUUGUAUCGACCCGAGCCGUGCCGGAGCUAACGCGUUAAGUAUCCCGCCUGGGGAGUACGCACGCAAGUGUGAAACUCAAAGGAAUUGACGGGGGCCCGCACAAGCGGUGGAGUAUGUGGUUUAAUUCGAUGCAACGCGAAGAACCUUACCAAGGCUUGACAUCCUGCGAAUCCUGGUGAAAGCUGGGAGUGCCUUAGGGAGCGCAGAGACAGGUGGUGCAUGGCUGUCGUCAGCUCGUGUCGUGAGAUGUUGGGUUAAGUCCCGCAACGAGCGCAACCCUCGUUUUUAGUUGCCAGCAUUAAGUUGGGCACUCUAGAGAGACUGCCGGUGACAAACCGGAGGAAGGUGAGGAUGACGUCAAGUCAGCAUGCCCCUUACGUCUUGGGCUACACACGUACUACAAUGCUACGGACAGAGGGCAGCGAGCCAGGGAUGGCAAGCGAAUCCAGAAACCGUAGCUCAGUUCAGAUCGAAGGCUGCAACUCGCCUUCGUGAAGGAGGAAUCGCUAGUAAUUGCAGGUCAGCAUACUGCAGUGAAUUCGUUCCCGGGCCUUGUACACACCGCCCGUCACACCAUGGAAGUUGGUCACGCCCGAAGUCAUUACCCCAACCGAAAGGAGGGGGAUGCCUAAGGUAGGACUGGUGACUGGGGUGAA